RNAcentral lists this ribosomal RNA (483 nucleotides) under uncultured bacterium. Its description in RNAcentral is "partial 16S ribosomal RNA". It matches the Rfam family "Bacterial small subunit ribosomal RNA", at positions 29 to 506 of the family's 1533-position model. The record is from RNAcentral.
AUUGAACGCUGGCGGCAUGCUUUACACAUGCAAGUCGAACGGCAGCGCGGGCUUCGGCCUGGCGGCGAGUGGCGAACGGGUGAGUAAUACAUCGGAACGUGCCCAGUAGUGGGGGAUAGCUCGGCGAAAGCCGGAUUAAUACCGCAUACGACCUGAGGGUGAAAGCGGGGGAUCUUCGGACCUCGCGCUAUUGGAGCGGCCGAUGGCAGAUUAGCUAGUUGGUGGGGUAAAGGCCUACCAAGGCGACGAUCUGUAGCUGGUCUGAGAGGACGACCAGCCACACUGGGACUGAGACACGGCCCAGACUCCUACGGGAGGCAGCAGCGGGGAAUUUUGGACAAUGGGCGAAAGCCUGAACCAGCAAUGCCGCGUGUGUGAUGAAGGCCUUCGGGUUGUAAAGCACUUUUGGCGGGAACGAAAAGGACUGUGCCAAGACCACGGUUCGAUGACGGUACCCGCAGAAUAAGCACCGGCUACCUACGU